RNAcentral lists this ribosomal RNA (462 nucleotides) under Pyrenophora teres. RNAcentral describes it as "eukaryotic LSU rRNA". The stretch from base 160 to 313 matches the Rfam family "5.8S ribosomal RNA". Lineage: Eukaryota; Fungi; Ascomycota; Dothideomycetes; Pleosporales; Pleosporaceae. The record is from RNAcentral.
GGGUAGUCCCCGCUUUUGGGGGUUUGCCCAUUCUGGCGCCAUAUUCACCCAUGUCUUUUGCGUACUACUUGUUUCCUUGGGGGGCUCGCCCGCCAAUUGGACUUUAUUCAAACCUUUUUUCAUUGCAAUCAGCGUCAGCAAAACAAUGUAAUCAAUUACAACUUUCAACAACGGAUCUCUUGGUUCUGGCAUCGAUGAAGAACGCAGCGAAAUGCGAUAAGUAGUGUGAAUUGCAGAAUUCAGUGAAUCAUCGAAUCUUUGAACGCACAUUGCGCCCUUUGGUAUUCCAAAGGGCAUGCCUGUUCGAGCGUCAUUUGUACCCUCAAGCUUUGCUUGGUGUUGGGCGUCUUUUGUCUCUCCCCCGAGACUCGCCUUAAAAACAUUGGCAGCCGGCCUACUGGUUUCGGAGCGCAGCACAUUAUUUGCGCUCUUGUCCAGCCGCGGUCGCGCGUCCAUGAAGCC